UGUGUAAUACAUGAUUGCUCUGGUGAUGCGGUAGAUCUCAGACCUGCAGACAGACACAGAGGCCUGUUUGGAUCUCUGGUCUCUGAAUGAGACAAACAGUUUAGCAGGAGAAGA
Molecule: long non-coding RNA, 114 nt
Organism: Etheostoma spectabile (orangethroat darter)
Lineage: Eukaryota; Metazoa; Chordata; Actinopteri; Perciformes; Percidae
Exons: 3
Source: RefSeq, a predicted model, not a curated record